CUACGGGGUGCACCAGUGAGGAAUAUUGCACAAUGGGGGGAACCCUGAUGCAGCAACGCCGCGUGGAGGAUGACGCAUUUCGGUGUGUAAACUCCUUUUAUAUGUCAAGAAAAUGACGGUAGCAUAUGAAUAAGCACCGGCUAACUCCGUGCCAGCAGCCGCGGUAAUACGGAGGGUGCAAGCGUUACUCGGAAUCACGGGGCGUAAAGGACGCGUAGGCGGGUUGGAAAGUCAGGUGUGAAAUCCUACAGCUUAACUGUAGAACUGCACUUGAAACUUCUAAUCUAGAGUAUGGGAGGGGGAGAUGGAAUUAGUGGUGUAGGGGUAAGAUCCGUAGAUAUCACUAGGAAUACCUAAAGCGAAGGCGAUCUCCUGGAGCAUUACUGACGCUAAGGCGUGAAAGCGUGGGGAGCAAGCAGGAUUAGAUACCCCAGUAGUC
This 439-nucleotide ribosomal RNA is filed under the name uncultured bacterium. RNAcentral's name for it is "partial 16S ribosomal RNA". It matches the Rfam family "Bacterial small subunit ribosomal RNA", at positions 339 to 795 of the family's 1533-position model. The record is from RNAcentral.